GUCCAGCCACCCGGCUUCCACCCCCCCCCCCUCCCCUCCCGGAGGUUCAAGUUUCUGCGCCCGGAGGACGCGGCCUCGGCCAAUCCCCGGGCUACAGGGCGCUUUUAAAAUGCAGGAAGCCGGCGGUUCAGGGACAGCUGCCUAGAACCUCUGAUGUCUCCGUGGGACGGGUGGA
RNAcentral lists this long non-coding RNA (175 nucleotides) under Lynx canadensis (Canada lynx). RNAcentral's name for it is "lncRNA (ENSLCNG00005004360.1)". The record is from RNAcentral. Lineage: Eukaryota; Metazoa; Chordata; Mammalia; Carnivora; Felidae.